Long non-coding RNA from Melanotaenia boesemani (Boeseman's rainbowfish), 2450 nucleotides. RefSeq lists it as uncharacterized. The transcript is spliced from 4 exons. The record is from RefSeq and is a predicted model, not a curated record. Lineage: Eukaryota; Metazoa; Chordata; Actinopteri; Atheriniformes; Melanotaeniidae.
CCCUUCCGCCGUGGAGGAUAUCCAGUUGUAAGGUUGGUCAAGGGCUUCACAAUCCUUGAGUAAUCCUUGACAAAUCUCCGAUAGUAACCGGAGAAGCCUAAGAAGGAUUGGAGCUCCUUUAAGUUCUGUGGUCUUGGCCAGGUUUUCAAGGCUUGAACCUUUUCAGGGUCAGUUUUCACUCCAUCGCUGGAAACAAUGUGGCCCAAGUAACGCACUGAAGUCUGAAAGAACUUGCACUUAUCGGGUGAAAGUUUCAAGCCAUAUUCACUGAGACGGUUGAGUACAUGGAUGAGCCUUGUCUCAUGUUCUUCAAGAGUGUCUGAAAACACUAUGAGAUCAUCUAGAAAAACAAGGACCUCCUUUAAAUGGAUGUCACUCAUGCAUUUCUCCAUGAGCCGUUGGAAUGUGCUCGGAGCAUUUGUGAUUCCCUGGGGCAUUCGAUUGAACUCCCAGAAUCCAAAGGGGCAUACAAAGGCAGUUUUAUGCUUGUCACUUUCAUUCAUCUCGAUUUGAUAGUACCCAGAUUUCAGGUCCAUCACGGAAAACCACUUUGAUCCAGCGAGAGCGGAAAAUGACUCCUCCAGGUUUGGUAAUGCAUAGGAGUCUUUUAUUGUUUGCAGGUUUAAUUUUCUGUAGUCCACACAUAAGCGGACAUCGCCAUUUUUCUUCCUCACCACCACGAUGGGUGAUGAGAAUGGGGACUCUGAUUCUCGAAUUAUACCAGCAUCAAAAAGGGUUUGAAGGUGUUUUUUGACUGCUUCAUAAUCUCGAGGAUGAAUUGGGCGAGGUCUCUGUUUGAUUGGGGUCUCAUCCUUUAGCUUGAUGUGGUGUUGGGUUUUGGUUGCAUGACCGAAGUCAAGAUCAUGUUGGGCAAAGACAUGAGAAAAGCUAUUGAGCUUUGUUGUAAUUCUUGCUUUCCACUCCUCAGGAAGAGAAGGACCAAAAUCAAAGCUUUUCUCUGGAAGAUUUGCCUCCGCCUGGUGAGAAGAGCACUCAACAACAUGCUUCUGAAGCUCCUUAUCAACCACAUGAUGAUUCUCGAUGACAGCAUCUACAACAGUCAGAUCUGCGAUAAUGCAGUUGUUGCAGGGUACGAAGAACCUGAUUGUAACCAUGGCAAGGUGAGCUAUGGGAAAAUGAGGAGUCAUCACAACACUCAUCAAAGAGAGGGUCUAAAGUGUUGGUGCCAAUUAAUAAUGGAACACCACUAUUUGACCGAAGAUCAGGAACAAUUAAAGCCAAGGUUGAAAUUUCUGGCUCAGUCUCAAGAAGGGCUUUCGGGAACUUGAGGUCAACCUCCACAUAUCCCAGGAUUCUCUGGACUGCAUGCGCUGAGUUUUGCAACCUGAACCUGAAGUUCAGCGAUCUGCUUCUGGAUGUCUUUGGUCAUAGCCAAAAAAGCUUGUUCUGCUUUCUGUGGCGCUCCAAUAUCCUCGGUUAAGAGAAGAAGCUCUGCAAACGACGGUGGCUUUGUCUUGAGCUGCUCAAGCUGGAGACUGGUGAUGAGGAGACUGUCCCAACACCCACGGCAGAAUUGCUUUAGAAGUUGCUUGUCAGCAUCAUGAGCAGAAAUUCCUCCUUUCGUGACCACAUAGCUUAAGGCUGUAUGAAGUUGCUGCAGGUAAUCUGAUGCUUUCUCCCCAGCAUUUUGAUUAUUGUUCAAGAAUCGUGCAAAAAGUUCAUCCCCAUCUUCGACUGUGGCAUAAGCAGAAUCAAGUAAGGUCAAGUACUCUUUUGGUGAGGUUUUGGGCCCUAAUGACUUGAUUAUGUUUGCUGCUGGAGGUGAAAGACUUUCAACAAUUUUCCUUACCACUUGGGAGUCAGGAACUGACGGAUCAUUCAAGCAGAACUCUACACUGUUACGCCAGGUGUCGUAGUCGACCUCGAAGGUUGGCCGAGGAAGUCGCCCUGAAAACUGUUUAAGUUUACAAGGAGAAUGAAGGUGGGAUGAAAUUUCACUGCUCCUGACAAUGUGUUCAACCACAACACGUUGCACUUCUGGUGUGCUGAGUUGAUCUGAAGGUAAGUGAUAAGGGCUAGCUCUUUCCCUUCUUGGAGAGGGAAGAUCUUUUACUUCAAUGUCAAUCUGGGGUCUGUAGGAAGUUUGACUCAUCUCGGUGGGGGCGCUGAUAAAGCUAGGGGCAGUAGCUUGGAUAUCACUUUGUGUAAGGGGCGGAUCAGUUCCUUCAGGAUUUCCACCGGUCUCAGCGGGGGUUUCAGUUCUGAUGGAUUCACUGAUCCUAGCCAGCUCCUUACGGAGGAUAUCUCCAAAAUCCUUGCCGCUCGUUUUAGCCAAGUCUUUCAGCCCAGAGAGGUAAGUCUCUGUCACACUGGUACCCACAUCACAAGCAUAAAUGCUAGCAAGACUCUGCACAUGGUGGAUAACCUCAGGUUCGGUAACACAUGGUCUUCGGUAAGGUAAGCCAGUGGUUUCGAGGUCUUCUAUAGCA